UCUUCUCUCUUCGAGCAGGUAACCAUUUAUUUUACAGAACACACUAGAGGUGUGAUCUCCGAUCGGAACUGCCUGAGAGAAAACAUCAGUGAGACUUGUGAAGGGUCCAACUAAUAAAAAGCUUUUCCGAUAGAUACCUCCGAUAACCUUAGCUUUGGCCGGCCGGAGGGUCAACGGACCCUCCUGACCCCCUGUGGUUCCGCCCCAGCAUGAUGUGUUGGAAAGCCUAUGUAAAGAUUAUGAUUGUUGAAUCUUGUUAACUUGUUAGUUUGAUUCAUAUCAUGAUAGUAGGAAUGGUAAUUGCUAACAUAAGUUGAAUGAUGAUUUGAACAUGUGUAUGAAUUCUUGCAUUUAGAUUUGGAAAGAUCAAAAGAAUGUUUAUAUGAA
Long non-coding RNA from Helianthus annuus (common sunflower), 387 nucleotides. RefSeq lists it as uncharacterized. NCBI's taxonomy places the organism in Eukaryota, Viridiplantae, Streptophyta, Magnoliopsida, Asterales, Asteraceae. The record is from RefSeq and is a predicted model, not a curated record. The transcript has 2 exons.